CUGAAGCCACCGACCUCCCUUCUCAAAUCGACAAAAGUAUACGAAUGCACUUUAACUCAGAUAGCCUCCCCAUGGAGUCAAUCGCAUACCGAAAGACUGUAAUAGACUUUGACUCCAUGGCGAUUGAACUAUGCGUCUGGGAUCUGAGCGCUAUUCGCCAAUAAUAUGCACUCAGAUCUAGGCUAUCUGGGGAUGUGUUACACGAAUGAGAAAUGUUCGGCAAUUGUAAAG
Pelobates cultripes (western spadefoot toad) is the source of this 231-nucleotide non-coding RNA. The record is from the annotation of a GenBank genome assembly. NCBI's taxonomy places the organism in Eukaryota, Metazoa, Chordata, Amphibia, Anura, Pelobatidae.